CAUGGUUAAGUGGGAAACGAUGUGGGAAGGCCCAGACAGCCAGGAUGUUGGCUUAGAAGCAGCCAUCAUUUAAAGAAAGCGUAAUAGCUCACUGGUCGAGUCGGCCUGCGCGGAAGAUGUAACGGGGCUAAACCAUGCACCGAAGCUGCGGCAGCGACGCUUAUGCGUUGUUGGGUAGGGGAGCGUUCUGUAAGCCUGUGAAGGUGUGCUGUGAGGUAUGCUGGAGGUAUCAGAAGUGCGAAUGCUGACAUAAGUAACGAUAAAGCGGGUGAAAAGCCCGCUCGCCGGAAGACCAAGGGUUCCUGUCCAACGUUAAUCGGGGCAGGGUGAGUCGACCCCUAAGGCGAGGCCGAAAGGCGUAGUCGAUGGGAAACAGGUUAAUAUUCCUGUACUUGGUGUUACUGCGAAGGGGGGACGGAGAAGGCUAUGUUGGCCGGGCGACGGUUGUCCCGGUUUAAGCGUGUAGGCUGGUUUUCCAGGCAAAUCCGGAAAAUCAAGGCCGAGGCGUGAUGACGAGGCACUACGGUGCUGAAGCAACAAAUGCCCUGCUUCCAGGAAAAGCCUCUAAGCAUCAGGUAACAUCAAAUCGUACCCCAAACCGACACAGGUGGUCAGGUAGAGAAUACCAAGGCGCUUGAGAGAACUCGGGUGAAGGAACUAGGCAAAAUGGUGCCGUAACUUCGGGAGAAGGCACGCUGAUACGUAGGUGAAGCGACUUGCUCGUGGAGCUGAAAUCAGUCGAAGAUACCAGCUGGCUGCAACUGUUUAUUAAAAACACAGCACUGUGCAAACACGAAAGUGGACGUAUACGGUGUGACGCCUGCCCGGUGCCGGAAGGUUAAUUGAUGGGGUUAGCGCAAGCGAAGCUCUUGAUCGAAGCCCCGGUAAACGGCGGCCGUAACUAUAACGGUCCUAAGGUAGCGAAAUUCCUUGUCGGGUAAGUUCCGACCUGCACGAAUGGCGUAAUGAUGGCCAGGCUGUCUCCACCCGAGACUCAGUGAAAUUGAACUCGCUGUGAAGAUGCAGUGUACCCGCGGCAAGACGGAAAGACCCCGUGAACCUUUACUAUAGCUUGACACUGAACAUUGAGCCUUGAUGUGUAGGAUAGGUGGGAGGCUUUGAAGUGUGGACGCCAGUCUGCAUGGAGCCGACCUUGAAAUACCACCCUUUAAUGUUUGAUGUUCUAACGUGGACCCGUGAUCCGGGUUGCGGACAGUGUCUGGUGGGUAGUUUGACUGGGGCGGUCUCCUCCUAAAGAGUAACGGAGGAGCACGAAGGUUGGCUAAUCCUGGUCGGACAUCAGGAGGUUAGUGCAAUGGCAUAAGCCAGCUUGACUGCGAGCGUGACGGCGCGAGCAGGUGCGAAAGCAGGUCAUAGUGAUCCGGUGGUUCUGAAUGGAAGGGCCAUCGCUCAACGGAUAAAAGGUACUCCGGGGAUAACAGGCUGAUACCGCCCAAGAGUUCAUAUCGACGGCGGUGUUUGGCACCUCGAUGUCGGCUCAUCACAUCCUGGGGCUGAAGUAGGUCCCAAGGGUAUGGCUGUUCGCCAUUUAAAGUGGUACGCGAGCUGGGUUUAGAACGUCGUGAGACAGUUCGGUCCCUAUCUGCCGUGGGCGCUGGAGAACUGAGGGGGGCUGCUCCUAGUACGAGAGGACCGGAGUGGACGCAUCACUGGUGUUCGGGUUGUCAUGCCAAUGGCACUGCCCGGUAGCUAAAUGCGGAAGAGAUAAGUGCUGAAAGCAUCUAAGCACGAAACUUGCCCCGAGAUGAGUUCUCC
This 1776-nucleotide ribosomal RNA is filed under the name Shigella flexneri 2a. Its description in RNAcentral is "partial 23S ribosomal RNA". It matches the Rfam family "Bacterial large subunit ribosomal RNA", at positions 1054 to 2814 of the family's 2925-position model. The record is from RNAcentral. Lineage: Bacteria; Pseudomonadati; Pseudomonadota; Gammaproteobacteria; Enterobacterales; Enterobacteriaceae.